Molecule: ribosomal RNA, 307 nt
Filed under: uncultured bacterium
Lineage: Bacteria
Description: bacterial SSU rRNA
Rfam family: Bacterial small subunit ribosomal RNA
Source: RNAcentral
GACGAACGCUGGGGGCGUGCCUAACACAUGCAAGUCGAACGAGGUCCAUCCUUCGGGAGAAGACCUAGUGGCGAACGGGUGAGUAACACGUGAAGAACCUGCCCCGAAGACCGGGAUAACCUCCGAAAGGAGAGCUAAUACCGGAUACCCCCACCGAACCGCAUGGUUUGGUGAGGAAAUGGAUUCCGCUUCGGGAGGGCUUCGCGGCCUAUCAGCUAGUUGGUGGGGUAACGGCCCACAAGGCAUCGACGGGUAGCUGGUCUGAGAGGACGAUCAGCCACACUGGGACUGAGACACGGCCCAGACU